This 387-nucleotide ribosomal RNA is filed under the name Alnicola badia. RNAcentral's name for it is "partial small subunit ribosomal RNA". The record is from RNAcentral. Lineage: Eukaryota; Fungi; Basidiomycota; Agaricomycetes; Agaricales; Hymenogastraceae.
GGGGGAAGCGCCGCGAAGUAGAUUUUAAAUAAGGUAAAACAUUAUAAAUAAUAAAUAUUGGUUUAUUAUUUGUAUAUCUUUUUCUCCGUAGGAGUAGGAUUUAUUUAAAUUAAUAAAUUAAACGAUUCCUACUCCCCUCACAGUCACAACUGUAACUGUGAGGACUCCUUCCUUUUGCUCGCAAAAGCAAGAUGGAGCCUUCCUACGGACAGGGAGAAAGAGUCGGAGAAAAUUGAUUUGAUUAUUCAUUUAUUUGAGUAAUUAGUGUAGUUAUUCUUUAAUAUAUAAUUUUAUUAUAUUUUUUACUAGGUAUUUAACUGCUUUUUUUAGGUCUAAUUAGUUUCGACUAACCCAUCUGAGUAACAUCUCAAAAGUCAUAGCAAGGUA